CCAUGCUGCACCCUGAUCUUGGCCUUGCAGUCUCCAGAACUGUGUGAAAUAACUGUCUGUUGUCUCAGCCACCCAGUCUAUAAUAAUUUGUUAUAGCAGUCUGAGCUGACUGAGACCAUACAUGCCUCCCUAAAGCAGAAGCUCACUUUCUCAGUUUCCCUUGACAUUCAGGACAGGUAGGUGAGUUGGGCCUCACGAAUCAGAUGCACUCACAUAAAACCUUGAUUUGGAAGAGAAAAAUAAUUGGAUGAGGCACGCACAUUGACAAAUCCACUUUCUGGUAUCGAUUACAGCAGAGGUUACUUUCAGAGAGGGCAGUAGGGUAGAGGUUCCGGGGUCCAGCCUCCCAGUCGGCACUGGGAGCUGAGAUGUCUGUGCUCACUGGAAAUGGCAAUGGGCGGUCCUCACUGCAGGUGACCAGCCAGGGGAUUUGAACAUUCAUCCUGGAUAUGGUAUUCUUUGAGGAGUCUGGGCGGGGGGUCCUUAAUGUCUUUAAACUGGUAUUGAGGGAACCUCUGCCUGUUGCCCGUCACUUAAGGCUCACCAGGAAGCUGACGUAUUUGAAACUUGCAGCUUCUUCACAGCCGACAAAAAUAAAAGGGAGAUACAUUUUUUAAAAUUCUCCUCUUUUCCCUAGAAAACAGAGAUGAGAGAAAACCCUUGUGUUAUGGCCAUUAACCAUUUCCUUUGUUCAUUCAAAUAGGAAUCUAGCUUUUUUUCUUUUUUCUUUUUUGCACCAGACGCUAUGCUAAGUGCCAGACCACUGUGAACUGCAGAGGAAAAACCAGGAUGUCAGAACUCUUCCACCGGUGGGGAUAUUAGAGGCCACAAAGCCUCCAUCACUCAAAGCAAUUGCAUCCAAAAAAAUAAUUUUCUGCGGACCACAUGGAGUUUUGAACCAAUUAAGACACAGGAGCGAGACAGAUGGCGAUGAAAAUAUCAUGCUAAAAGGCUGCAUUGACCCAUGUACCUGAGGUGGGUAGCCACAUGGGUUUCCUCCUACUUUCCCCCCUGAAUGAGGUAGACUCAUUCUGCCAGUCAUAUGUACCACUGACCAGCAUAGGUUUCUGAAAGGAAUGGCUGAGAGGAGCAUGCCCCAUUCAGCGAGGAGGCAAAGAGAGGCUACAGAUGGCUCUCAAAAUCUCUCCCGGAGAGUGGAAUGGAAAUUCUUGGCCUCUGUGGAAACAUGAGGGGUAAGCUAUACAUAUAUCCUUGUAUGACUAGUAAGUUAUGCCUAAAUUAAAUUUGGUUUGGAAGUGUGUAACAAAAGCAGUGAUUCUGGAUGGGUAUAUUAACAACAUCAUCAACAACAACAUCAACAUUAAUAACAUCAACAACAUUAUCACAUCAACAAUAGCAGCACAGCAGUAGUACCAACAGCAGCAACAAUAAUAAUAGAAUAACAUCUCAGCAACAAGAAUAAAAAUAGCAACAAUAGUACUGUCAACCACAUCAGCAAGAACAUUAACAGUAAAAUGCCAACAGCAUCAUCACAACACCCACAGUAGCAAUGUUGACAGCAUCAUCACAACACCCAUAGUAAUGUCAAUGGCAUCAUAACAACACCCACAGUAACAAUGCCAACAGCAUCACAACAUCUACAGAAACAUCAUCACUAGAGCAUCACCAGAGCAUCAUCACUACUUGCACAGUAACAACAUCAAUAGCAACAUAACAGUAUCCAGAGAAACAAUAUCAACAGUGUCAUCACAACGCCCACAGUAAGUGUCAACAGCAUCAUCACAACACCCAUAGUAACAACAUUAGCAUUAUCACAACAUCCACAGUAACAGUGUCACCACCACCAUCACAGCAUCCACAGUAAUAGUGUUAACAGCAUGAUCACAACAUCCAUAGUAACAGUGUUAACAACAUCAUCACAACAUCCACAGUAACAGCCUCAACAGCACCAUUACAACAUCCACAGUAAAGCAUCAACAGCAUCAUCACAACAUCCACAGUAACAGUGUCAACAGCACCAUUACAACAUCCAUAGUACAGCAUCAACAACAUCAUCACAACACCCACAGUAACAAUGCCAACAGCAUCAUCACAACGUCUACAGAAACAGUGUCUAGAGCAUCAUCACUACUUCCAUAGUAACAUCAACAGCAACAUAACAGUAUCCAGAGAAACAACAUUAACAGCAUCAUCACAACACCCACAGUAAUAGUGUCAACAGCAUCAUCACAAUACCCAUAGUAACAACAUUAACAUCAUCACAACAUCCACAGUAACA
Long non-coding RNA from Cercocebus atys (sooty mangabey), 2239 nucleotides. RefSeq lists it as uncharacterized. The transcript is spliced from 2 exons. Lineage: Eukaryota; Metazoa; Chordata; Mammalia; Primates; Cercopithecidae. The record is from RefSeq and is a predicted model, not a curated record.